ACUUAAAUAGCUUAUGAUUUAGAGCGCGACACUGAAGAUGUCGAUGAGGUGUUUUAGUUACCUUUGAGUA
Molecule: transfer RNA, 70 nt
Filed under: Neocapritermes utiariti
Lineage: Eukaryota; Metazoa; Arthropoda; Insecta; Blattodea; Termitidae
Description: tRNA-Phe
Source: RNAcentral